RNAcentral lists this ribosomal RNA (1552 nucleotides) under Citrobacter koseri. Its description in RNAcentral is "bacterial SSU rRNA". It matches the Rfam family "Bacterial small subunit ribosomal RNA". The record is from RNAcentral. Lineage: Bacteria; Pseudomonadati; Pseudomonadota; Gammaproteobacteria; Enterobacterales; Enterobacteriaceae.
AAAUUGAAGAGUUUGAUCAUGGCUCAGAUUGAACGCUGGCGGCAGGCCUAACACAUGCAAGUCGAACGGUAACAGGAAGCAGCUUGCUGCUUUGCUGACGAGUGGCGGACGGGUGAGUAAUGUCUGGGAAACUGCCUGAUGGAGGGGGAUAACUACUGGAAACGGUAGCUAAUACCGCAUAACGUCGCAAGACCAAAGAGGGGGACCUUCGGGCCUCUUGCCAUCAGAUGUGCCCAGAUGGGAUUAGCUUGUUGGUGGGGUAACGGCUCACCAAGGCGACGAUCCCUAGCUGGUCUGAGAGGAUGACCAGCCACACUGGAACUGAGACACGGUCCAGACUCCUACGGGAGGCAGCAGUGGGGAAUAUUGCACAAUGGGCGCAAGCCUGAUGCAGCCAUGCCGCGUGUAUGAAGAAGGCCUUCGGGUUGUAAAGUACUUUCAGCGGGGAGGAAGGUGUUGUGGUUAAUAACCGCAGCAAUUGACGUUACCCGCAGAAGAAGCACCGGCUAACUCCGUGCCAGCAGCCGCGGUAAUACGGAGGGUGCAAGCGUUAAUCGGAAUUACUGGGCGUAAAGCGCACGCAGGCGGUCUGUUAAGUCAGAUGUGAAAUCCCCGGGCUCAACCUGGGAACUGCAUCUGAUACUGGCAGGCUUGAGUCUCGUAGAGGGGGGUAGAAUUCCAGGUGUAGCGGUGAAAUGCGUAGAGAUCUGGAGGAAUACCGGUGGCGAAGGCGGCCCCCUGGACGAAGACUGACGCUCAGGUGCGAAAGCGUGGGGAGCAAACAGGAUUAGAUACCCUGGUAGUCCACGCCGUAAACGAUGUCGACUUGGAGGUUGUGCCCUUGAGGCGUGGCUUCCGGAGCUAACGCGUUAAGUCGACCGCCUGGGGAGUACGGCCGCAAGGUUAAAACUCAAAUGAAUUGACGGGGGCCCGCACAAGCGGUGGAGCAUGUGGUUUAAUUCGAUGCAACGCGAAGAACCUUACCUGGUCUUGACAUCCACGGAAGUUUUCAGAGAUGAGAAUGUGCCUUCGGGAACCGUGAGACAGGUGCUGCAUGGCUGUCGUCAGCUCGUGUUGUGAAAUGUUGGGUUAAGUCCCGCAACGAGCGCAACCCUUAUCCUUUGUUGCCAGCGGUUAGGCCGGGAACUCAAAGGAGACUGCCAGUGAUAAACUGGAGGAAGGUGGGGAUGACGUCAAGUCAUCAUGGCCCUUACGACCAGGGCUACACACGUGCUACAAUGGCAUAUACAAAGAGAAGCGACCUCGCGAGAGCAAGCGGACCUCAUAAAGUAUGUCGUAGUCCGGAUUGGAGUCUGCAACUCGACUCCAUGAAGUCGGAAUCGCUAGUAAUCGUGGAUCAGAAUGCCACGGUGAAUACGUUCCCGGGCCUUGUACACACCGCCCGUCACACCAUGGGAGUGGGUUGCAAAAGAAGUAGGUAGCUUAACCUUCGGGAGGGCGCUUACCACUUUGUGAUUCAUGACUGGGGUGAAGUCGUAACAAGGUAACCGUAGGGGAACCUGCGGUUGGAUCACCUCCUUACCUUAAAGAA